RNAcentral lists this transfer-messenger RNA (336 nucleotides) under Magnetovibrio blakemorei. RNAcentral describes it as "magnetite-containing magnetic vibrio Alphaproteobacteria transfer-messenger RNA". It matches the Rfam family "Alphaproteobacteria transfer-messenger RNA". Rfam says of the family: Bacterial tmRNA, also known as 10Sa RNA or SsrA, is named for its dual tRNA and mRNA-like properties. Its role is to liberate the mRNA from a stalled ribosome. To accomplish this part of the tmRNA is used as a reading frame that ends in a translation stop signal. Lineage: Bacteria; Pseudomonadati; Pseudomonadota; Alphaproteobacteria; Rhodospirillales; Magnetovibrionaceae. The record is from Rfam by way of RNAcentral.
ACCUUUGCAAUCGGACGCUGAGAAGCCUAUAUUUAAUUUGUCGGGCAACCGACUAUGGCGAUAAACGUUUUUCGGAAUAAUCGUUUCGGACCCGGGGGCGGUACCCGGCGCCUCCACCAAUUCGAGCCAGCGCUUUAUAAGCUUAAGCGCUGGCUGUUCAGGGGGCGAAAUAGGAUCGACGAGCGUGGUAAAGGACUGACUUUCGCCCGGCAUUGUACCACCGUAUCGGGCUACUUUUACAAAUGCUAACGAUAACAACGAAGCAUUUGCGGUUGCCGCUUAACAGCUAAGCAACCACGGGGUUCGGGGGGCACCUGGCAACAGAAGCCCCCCACU